UGGGGUGUAGGUCAAUGGCAGACCACCCGGCUGUUAACCGGGAUGUUGCAGGUUCGAGUCCUGCCGCCCCAG
RNAcentral lists this transfer RNA (72 nucleotides) under Gemmatimonadaceae bacterium. Its description in RNAcentral is "tRNA-Asn". It matches the Rfam family "tRNA". Rfam says of the family: Transfer RNA (tRNA) molecules are approximately 80 nucleotides in length. Their secondary structure includes four short double-helical elements and three loops (D, anti-codon, and T loops). Lineage: Bacteria; Pseudomonadati; Gemmatimonadota; Gemmatimonadia; Gemmatimonadales; Gemmatimonadaceae. The record is from RNAcentral.